AUUAUUUUAACUCUUCCUUUGUCUUCUCAAAGACUUUUUGGGGGUUUAGCUCAGUUGGUUUAGAGCAUCGGCUUUGCAAGCCGGGGGUCAAGGGUUCGAGUCCCUUAACCUCCAUUUGUUUAUUGCAAAAAUGAAUGGAGGUUGUGCCUUCUAAAUAUCAGCUUGAGCUUUAUCAAUUUAAAUUGUCUUUAAUAAUUAAAAAUAAUCUAAUUGAAAUUUUGAUGUCCAGAUAAAACAUUUCUUUUUUAAAAGUUUUUCUUAAGUUUAAUAAUUUAUUAGGUCAAGAGAUUGCAUCUAUAGGAUAGAUUAUAAAAAAUAACGAUAUGUUAUCCAUGUUAUUUUUAAGUUAUCUUAUUUAGAUUAAUUUAAGUUUUUGUGGCUUGUAGGAAAUAAUAUUACUUUGCGUAAAGUUUAAUAUGUUUGAUGUUUGUGUCUAUCUUUAAUGAAUCA
RNAcentral lists this transfer RNA (450 nucleotides) under Borrelia hermsii. RNAcentral's name for it is "partial 16S-23S ribosomal RNA intergenic spacer". The stretch from base 40 to 114 matches the Rfam family "tRNA". The record is from RNAcentral. Lineage: Bacteria; Pseudomonadati; Spirochaetota; Spirochaetia; Spirochaetales; Borreliaceae.